GACGAACGCUGGCGGCGCGCCUAACACAUGCAAGUCGAACGGAGCUGAGAGAAGCUUGCUUUUCUUAGCUUAGUGGCGAACGGGUGAGUAACGCGUGAGUAACCUGCCCUGGAGUGGGGGACAACAGUUGGAAACGACCGCUAAUACCGCAUAAGCCCACGAUCCGGCAUCGGAUUGAGGGAAAAGGAUUUAUUCGCUUCAGGAUGGACUCGCGUCCAAUUAGCUAGUUGGUGAGGUAACGGCCCACCAAGGCGACGAUUGGUAGCCGGACUGAGAGGUUGAACGGCCACAUUGGGACUGAGACACGGCCCAGACUCCUACGGGAGGCAGCAGUGGGGGAUAUUGCACAAUGGGGGAAACCCUGAUGCAGCGACGCCGCGUGGAGGAAGAAGGUUUUCGGAUUGUAAACUCCUGUCGUUAGGGACGAUAAUGACGGUACCUAACAAGAAAGCACCGGCUAACUACGUG
Molecule: ribosomal RNA, 468 nt
Filed under: uncultured bacterium
Lineage: Bacteria
Description: partial 16S ribosomal RNA
Rfam family: Bacterial small subunit ribosomal RNA
Source: RNAcentral